AUUCUUUCGGAGAUUCUUUGGAAUGAUACAGAUAAGAUUAGCAUGGCUCCUAUACAAUGAUGACAUGAGAAAUAGUCCAAAAAAAUUGCCAACUGAUU
RNAcentral lists this small nuclear RNA (98 nucleotides) under Arabidopsis lyrata subsp. lyrata. Lineage: Eukaryota; Viridiplantae; Streptophyta; Magnoliopsida; Brassicales; Brassicaceae. The record is from RNAcentral.